CCAGCCGGUUGGACGACCGCUGCCACGAGACGCGAAAGCGUGUGGGGGAGGAAAGUCCGGGCUCCACGGAAACACGGUGCCGGGUAACGCCCGGCGGGGGCGACCCCAGGGAAAGUGCCACAGAGAUCGAACCGCCCGGGCAUGCCCGGGUAAGGGUGAAAAGGUGGGGUAAGAGCCCACCGCGCUGCCGGCAACGGGAGCGGCAUGGCAAACCCCACCGGGAGCAAGACCGAAUAGGGGCGGCGCGGGCCUUCGGGCCCGGUUCGUUUCCGAGCCAGCCGCCCGGGUGGGUUGCGCGAGGCGUCCGGUAACGGGCGUCCCAGAUGAAUGGUCGUCGGGCGGGUCUUCCCGCCAACAGAACCCGGCUUACAGACCGGCUGGCACC
This 385-nucleotide RNase P RNA is filed under the name Methylobrevis pamukkalensis. RNAcentral's name for it is "Bacterial RNase P class A". It matches the Rfam family "Bacterial RNase P class A". From Rfam's summary of the family: Ribonuclease P (RNase P) is a ubiquitous endoribonuclease, found in archaea, bacteria and eukarya as well as chloroplasts and mitochondria. The record is from Rfam by way of RNAcentral. Lineage: Bacteria; Pseudomonadati; Pseudomonadota; Alphaproteobacteria; Hyphomicrobiales; Pleomorphomonadaceae.